CAGUAGCCGCGGUAAUACGUAGGGUGCAAGCGUUAAUCGGAAUUACUGGGCGUAAAGCGUGCGCAGGCGGUUCUAUAAGACAGAUGUGAAAUCCCCGGGCUCAACCUGGGAACUGCAUUUGUGACUGUAGAGCUGGAGUGCGGCAGAGGGGGAUGGAAUUCCGCGUGUAGCAGUGAAAUGCGUAGAUAUGCGGAGGAACACCGAUGGCGAAGGCAAUCCCCUGGGCCUGCACUGACGCUCAUGCACGAAAGCGUGGGGAGCAAACAGGAUUAGAUACCCGCGUAGUCCCUGUCUCUUAUAC
RNAcentral lists this ribosomal RNA (301 nucleotides) under uncultured bacterium. RNAcentral describes it as "partial 16S ribosomal RNA". It matches the Rfam family "Bacterial small subunit ribosomal RNA", at positions 509 to 807 of the family's 1533-position model. The record is from RNAcentral.